AUGCAACACACCUUACAAACAUUAUAGGAAUGCACUCCAAAACAUACAUACCCCAAUGCGUAACCAUAGAGGAACAUUACAGAAAACAACAAGACUUGGCAGCAACGAUAUGGGUCCCUAAAGACCUACAGAAAUUGUCCAACACUACUCUACCAACCACCCGGCUACUCCUUCAAUGCUGGAAUGAACACAGGUGCUUAGCCACCAUCACACAACCAUGCUCUCUAGCAAUGCCUAUACGAUCACUACAAAUAUUCAAUCACUGUAAAUAGCACCAGCAUGGCAUAACCCACAUACACCAGCUAUAAACGGAGAACAGGCUUAAACCUUUCCCAGAACUACAGGAGAGUCCUACACUGCCAUAAACACUAAUAUUUCCAUACCUACAACUGAAAACACUCCUAACGUGCACUAAAG
Pelobates cultripes (western spadefoot toad) is the source of this 417-nucleotide non-coding RNA. The record is from the annotation of a GenBank genome assembly. NCBI's taxonomy places the organism in Eukaryota, Metazoa, Chordata, Amphibia, Anura, Pelobatidae.